RNAcentral lists this transfer RNA (71 nucleotides) under Ictidomys tridecemlineatus (thirteen-lined ground squirrel). Its description in RNAcentral is "Spermophilus tridecemlineatus (thirteen-lined ground squirrel) tRNA". It matches the Rfam family "tRNA". Rfam says of the family: Transfer RNA (tRNA) molecules are approximately 80 nucleotides in length. The record is from Rfam by way of RNAcentral. Lineage: Eukaryota; Metazoa; Chordata; Mammalia; Rodentia; Sciuridae.
GUGGCUGUGGCUCAGUGGUAGAGUGCUUGCCUGGCAUGUGUGAAGCACUGGGUUCGAUCCUCAGCACCACA